GGCGCGGGGUACGGGCGGACUGGAGUGCGGUAGGGGAGACUGGAAUUCCCGGUGUAACGGUGGAAUGUGUAGAUAUCGGGAAGAACACCGAUGGCGAAGGCAGGUCUCUGGGCCGUCACUGACGCUGAGGAGCGAAAGCGUGGGGAGCGAACAGGAUUAGAUACCCUGGUAGUCCACGCCGUAAACGGUGGAUGCUGGAUGUGGGGCCCGUUCCACGGGUUCCGUGUCGGAGCUAACGCGUUAAGCAUCCCGCCUGGGGAGUACGGCCGCAAGGCUAAAACUCAAAGAAAUUGACGGGGGCCCGCACAAGCGGCGGAGCAUGCGGAUUAAUUCGAUGCAACGCGAAGAACCUUACCUGGGCUUGACAUGUGCCGGACGGCCGCGGAGACGCGGCUUCCCUUCGGGGCCGGUUCACAGGUGGUGCAUGGUCGUCGUCAGCUCGUGUCGUGAGAUGUUGGGUCAAGUCCCGCAACGAGCGCAACCCUCGCCUCGUGUUGCCAGCACGUUAUGGUGGGAACUCACGGGGGACCGCCGGGGUUAACCCGGAGGAAGGUGGGGAUGACGUCAGAUCAUCAUGCCCCUUACGUCCAGGGCUUCACGCAUGCUACAAUGGCCGGUACAGCGGGAUGCGACAUGGUG
This 639-nucleotide ribosomal RNA is filed under the name uncultured bacterium. RNAcentral's name for it is "bacterial SSU rRNA". It matches the Rfam family "Bacterial small subunit ribosomal RNA", at positions 622 to 1259 of the family's 1533-position model. The record is from RNAcentral.